GGGUUGUGAGGUUAAGCGACUAAGCGUACACGGUGGAUGCCCUGGCAGUCAGAGGCGAUGAAGGACGUGCUAAUCUGCGAUAAGCGCCGGUAAGGUGAUAUGAACCGUUAUAACCGGCGAUUUCCGAAUGGGGAAACCCAGUGUGACUCGUCACACUAUCAUUAACUGAAUCCAUAGGUUAAUGAGGCGAACCGGGGGAACUGAAACAUCUAAGUACCCCGAGGAAAAGAAAUCAACCGAGAUUCCCCCAGUAGCGGCGAGCGAACGGGGAGGAGCCCAGAGCCUGAAUCAGCAUGUGUGUUAGUGGAAGCGUCUGGAAAGGCGCGCGAUACAGGGUGACAGCCCCGUACACAAAAGCGCAUGUGCUGUGAGCUCGAUGAGUAGGGCGGGACACGUGGUAUCCUGUCUGAAUAUGGGGGGACCAUCCUCCAAGGCUAAAUACUCCUGACUGACCGAUAGUGAACCAGUACCGUGAGGGAAAGGCGAAAAGAACCCCGGCGAGGGGAGUGAAAAAGAACCUGAAACCGUGUACGUACAAGCAGUGGGAGCACAGGUUUACCUGUGUGACUGCGUACCUUUUGUAUAAUGGGUCAGCGACUUAUAUUCUGUAGCAAGGUUAACCGAAUAGGGGAGCCGGAGGGAAACCGAGUCUUAAUUGGGCGUUAAGUUGCAGGGUAUAGACCCGAAACCCGGUGAUCUAGCCAUGGGCAGGUUGAAGGUUGGGUAACACUAACUGGAGGACCGAACCGACUAAUGUUGAAAAAUUAGCGGAUGACCUGUGGCUGGGGGUGAAAGGCCAAUCAAACCGGGAGAUAGCUGGUUCUCCCCGAAAGCUAUUUAGGUAGCGCCUCGUGAAUUCAUCUCCGGGGGUAGAGCACUGUUUCGGCUAGGGGGCCAUCCCGGCUUACCAACCCGAUGCAAACUGCGAAUACCGGAGAAUGUUAUCACGGGAGACACACGGCGGGUGCUAACGUCCGUCGUGAAGAGGGAAACAACCCAGACCGCCAGCUAAGGUCCCAAAGUCAUGGUUAAGUGGGAAACGAUGUGGGAAGGCCCAGACAGCCAGGAUGUUGGCUUAGAAGCAGCCAUCAUUUAAAGAAAGCGUAAUAGCUCACUGGUCGAGUCGGCCUGCGCGGAAGAUGUAACGGGGCUAAACCAUGCACCGAAGCUGCGGCAGCGACACUGUGUGUUGUUGGGUAGGGGAGCGUUCUGUAAGCCUGUGAAGGUGUGUCGUGAGGCAUGCUGGAGGUAUCAGAAGUGCGAAUGCUGACAUAAGUAACGAUAAAGCGGGUGAAAAGCCCGCUCGCCGGAAGACCAAGGGUUCCUGUCCAACGUUAAUCGGGGCAGGGUGAGUCGACCCCUAAGGCGAGGCCGAAAGGCGUAGUCGAUGGGAAACGGGUUAAUAUUCCCGUACUUGGUGUUACUGCGAAGGGGGGACGGAGAAGGCUAUGUUGGCCGGGCGACGGUUGUCCCGGUUUAAGCGUGUAGGCUGGUUUUCCAGGCAAAUCCGGUUCACUGUAAAACUGAGGCGUGACGACGAGGCACUACGGUGCUGAAGCAACAAAUGCCCUGCUUCCAGGAAAAGCCUCUAAGCAUCAGGUAACAUCAAAUCGUACCCCAAACCGACACAGGUGGUCAGGUAGAGAAUACCAAGGCGCUUGAGAGAACUCGGGUGAAGGAACUAGGCAAAAUGGUGCCGUAACUUCGGGAGAAGGCACGCUGACACGUAGGUGAAGUGAUUUACUCAUGGAGCUGAAGUCAGUCGAAGAUACCAGCUGGCUGCAACUGUUUAUUAAAAACACAGCACUGUGCAAACACGAAAGUGGACGUAUACGGUGUGACGCCUGCCCGGUGCCGGAAGGUUAAUUGAUGGGGUCAGCGCAAGCGAAGCUCCUGAUCGAAGCCCCGGUAAACGGCGGCCGUAACUAUAACGGUCCUAAGGUAGCGAAAUUCCUUGUCGGGUAAGUUCCGACCUGCACGAAUGGCGUAAUGAUGGCCAGGCUGUCUCCACCCGAGACUCAGUGAAAUUGAACUCGCUGUGAAGAUGCAGUGUACCCGCGGCAAGACGGAAAGACCCCGUGAACCUUUACUAUAGCUUGACACUGAACAUUGAGCCUUGAUGUGUAGGAUAGGUGGGAGGCUUUGAAGUGUGGACGCCAGUCUGCAUGGAGCCGACCUUGAAAUACCACCCUUUAAUGUUUGAUGUUCUAACGUGGACCCGUAAUCCGGGUUGCGGACAGUGUCUGGUGGGUAGUUUGACUGGGGCGGUCUCCUCCUAAAGAGUAACGGAGGAGCACGAAGGUUGGCUAAUCCUGGUCGGACAUCAGGAGGUUAGUGCAAUGGCAUAAGCCAGCUUGACUGCGAGCGUGACGGCGCGAGCAGGUGCGAAAGCAGGUCAUAGUGAUCCGGUGGUUCUGAAUGGAAGGGCCAUCGCUCAACGGAUAAAAGGUACUCCGGGGAUAACAGGCUGAUACCGCCCAAGAGUUCAUAUCGACGGCGGUGUUUGGCACCUCGAUGUCGGCUCAUCACAUCCUGGGGCUGAAGUAGGUCCCAAGGGUAUGGCUGUUCGCCAUUUAAAGUGGUACGCGAGCUGGGUUUAGAACGUCGUGAGACAGUUCGGUCCCUAUCUGCCGUGGGCGCUGGAGAACUGAGGGGGGCUGCUCCUAGUACGAGAGGACCGGAGUGGACGCAUCACUGGUGUUCGGGUUGUCAUGCCAAUGGCACUGCCCGGUAGCUAAAUGCGGAAGAGAUAAGUGCUGAAAGCAUCUAAGCACGAAACUUGCCCCGAGAUGAGUUCUCCCUGAGACUUAGAGUCUCCUGAAGGAACGUUGAAGACGACGACGUUGAUAGGCCGGGUGUGUAAGCGCAGCGAUGCGUUGAGCUAACCGGUACUAAUGAACCGUGAGGCUUAACCUUACAACGCCAAAG
This 2928-nucleotide ribosomal RNA is filed under the name Salmonella enterica subsp. enterica serovar Senftenberg. RNAcentral describes it as "23S ribosomal RNA". It matches the Rfam family "Bacterial large subunit ribosomal RNA". Lineage: Bacteria; Pseudomonadati; Pseudomonadota; Gammaproteobacteria; Enterobacterales; Enterobacteriaceae. The record is from RNAcentral.